AUGGCUCGGGUCUCUGCCAAUGCAGUUGCACUUGUUGCACUCGUCUCCGUUCUUCUCACGUAUGGCUGCUGCGCCCAGUCGCCGCUCAACUACACCGGCUCCUUGGCCAAAUCCUCCAAGGCUAGCUGGUCAUGGCUCCCUGCCAAGGCCACAUGGUACGGCGCGCCUACCGGCGCCGGUCCCGAUGACAACGGUGGUGCUUGCGGCUACAAGCACACUAACCAGUACCCGUUCAUGUCCAUGACUUCCUGCGGCAACGAGCCCCUGUUCAAGGACGGCAUGGGCUGCGGCGCCUGCUACCAGAUACGAUGCGUCAAUAACAAGGCCUGCUCCGGCAAGCCGGAGACGGUCAUGAUCACCGACAUGAACUACUACCCUGUGGCCAAGUACCAUUUCGACCUCAGCGGCACGGCGUUCGGCGCCAUGGCGAAGCCCGGCCAGAACGACAAGCUCCGCCACGCCGGCAUUAUCGACAUCCAGUUCCAAAGGGUGCCAUGCAAUCAUCCGGGCUUGAACGUGAACUUCCACGUCGAGCGGGGCUCCAACCCCAACUACCUGGCCGUGCUGGUGGAGUUCGCGAAUCGGGAGGGCACCGUGGUGCAGAUGGACCUCAUGGAGUCAAGGAACGGCCGCCCGACGGGGUACUGGACGGCGAUGCGCCACUCGUGGGGCGCCAUCUGGCGGAUGGACUCCAGGCGCCGGCUGCAGGGCCCCUUCUCUCUCCGCAUCCGCAGCGAAUCCGGCAAGACGCUGGUGGCCAAACAAGUCAUCCCGGCCAACUGGAAGCCCGACACGAACUACCGUUCCAACGUCCAGUUCCGUUGA
RNAcentral lists this ribosomal RNA (825 nucleotides) under Triticum aestivum (bread wheat). Its description in RNAcentral is "partial small subunit ribosomal RNA". The record is from RNAcentral. Lineage: Eukaryota; Viridiplantae; Streptophyta; Magnoliopsida; Poales; Poaceae.